This 5003-nucleotide unclassified non-coding RNA is filed under the name Bactrocera latifrons. Its description in RNAcentral is "proteoglycan Cow, transcript variant X3". The record is from RNAcentral. Lineage: Eukaryota; Metazoa; Arthropoda; Insecta; Diptera; Tephritidae.
UCGGACGCGGCGGUGGCUAAAAGUGUUGCAAAUUGUCAAGCGGAUGAAAAAGGACUUUGCUUUCAAUUAAAUAGCAGCACAUAGCAGAGCAUAGUAGACCAUAGCAGAGACCAACUUAGUGCUCAGUGUAUACAUACAUACAUAUGUAUGUACAUUGCGUAUGUGCGCUUAUAUGCUUGUGUUUAAAGUUGUAAGCUCGUAAUUUGCGUGCUACAAAGGAAACGGAAAUUGCAAACGUAAAUUACACAGGUCAUUAAAGCGUUUUUCAGCGAACGAACGACGGCAAAGCAAACGCAGAAAAAUAAGCGAAAACACACAUUACACGAAUAUACUAAACAACAUAUAAAAGCGACCGAAAAAUAACCGAAACAAUAAAAGUCUUGAGUGCAACUGUUACGUCUAUUACGCUUUACGUAUCGUUGUUGUUGUUAUUGUGAAAAGUUAAAAAAAACUAGAGAAAAAAGCAGAAAAAUGAGGUGUUUACUUUUGAUUGCCAGCAUUUGUCUGGUGUUGAUGUCAUCCGGUCUGAGUGGCGCUGAGGCCAAGAAGAAGAAAUACGUUGGCGAAAAUGGUGGCGAUUUCGAGUUUAUCGAUGAGAUAAAUAAAAACUCGCAAGUGCCCUCGAAGAGCAGCAAUGGUGAACGCAAGCGCUGGAUUCACGAUCCUACAAGUGACCUCUGCCGGCCGUUAAAUUGCAAGAAGCGUGAAAUUUGUCUGCUGGAGGAUGAGUACAGUGCUGUGUGUGUGUCGAAGCGUGACUUACACAAGAACCGUGGUGAAAUAAUCACGAAAGCCAAGUACUUGGAGGAGGAGGCGGCUAAGCGGCGCGCCAAUAAAGACAACGCCAACAACAACAACAUCAAUAUUAACAACAACAGCGAGAAUGACAAUGACGACGAGGAUGCGAAGAAUUUCAGCUCGGACGAGGAGUCCCGUGAGGAUGAUGUCUUCUAUGAGAACAACAACACAGCCGGCGAUAAGGACGACGAAGAGGAUGAAGACAAUUGCAAGCCCUGCCCGGUGGCAAAGCCGACUUUCUUAUGCGGCGCCGACAACCGUACCUACUCAUCGCUAUGCAGAUUGGAUUACCACAACUGCAUACAUUCCACAACCAUAAGAAUAGCGUGCAAGGGAUUCUGUCCAUGCAAGGAAAAUACGGAUGGCAAACGUUUACAGCGUCUCAGUGAGCGUCAAAGUGCUUUUAAUGCCAAAUAUAAGAAGACCAUAGAGCAACAGCAGCAGCAGCAGCAACAGCAGCAAAAGCAACAAAUGCAACAACAAUUAAUGUACAAGGAUAACAGCAAUAGCAACAACAUUAUGGGCAACUCCAAUGACAAUUUGGACAACACUUUGAAUAGCAAUAAUUUUAAUGCUAUUAUGGAUGAUAAGGACGAUAACAAUCGCCAUUACAAUCACAUAAAUUCGCAAUUCACAUUCACACCGGAGGAAAUCAAAUAUGAUAACAAACACUAUAAGUAUCUCAAGUACACCGCCUACAAGAAGGACAACCAAUACCCAGAGGACAAGCACAAAAUUCGUGGCUAUAAUGAGGUGGUCGAGAAACCACAAAAGUACAACAAGAAUAGCAUGAACAAUGGUUUCUUACCCUCCAAAUCGCCCGAAUGCAAGCCACAACAAUUGACCGCCAUCGGCAAUCGCCUGCUUGACUGGUUCUCCGUUAUAAUGGCCGACAGCAAGAAACGACGACAACACAGCCAAAAAUCCAAGGCGCACUUCCCACCCGCCUGCAAGACCGAGGCCAAAUGGAUGUUCGGCCAUUUGGAUUUGAACAACGACGGCUAUUUGUCGCUGCAGGAAAUGUACGACUUGGAGCAUGAUCAGAAUGAGCGUUGCAUUAAGCCAUUCAUUGAUACGUGCGAUUUGGAUCAGGAUAAUUCGAUUAAUACGCGCGAAUGGUGCCGCUGCUUCGAGAAGACCGAUCGCCCAUGCGCCGCGGUACGACGAAGAAUCGCUGGCGAUUUUGCAGGUGAGAUAGGCGCCUAUGCACCCGAUUGCGAUAUCCAGGGUUUCUAUAAACCCACUCAAUGUCAUAAUUCUGUCGGCGUUUGCUGGUGUGUGGAUAAACAUGGAGUUGAAUUCGCCAACACACGUACUCGUGGCAAGCCCAAUUGCGAGUCCGUUGUGAAUAACGCCUCAUCACUCACCUCCGACGAUGAGGACGAGGAGACCGACGACGACGACAGUGCGGAAGGAAGUGCCGAUCAAAUGUUGGUAUUCUAAAUGAAAUGAAACGAAAUGAAACUAAGUAGCAGAGUUUGAAAACGCUCAACAAGAAAGAGGUGCGGGAGAGAAUGGUGUCUAACCGAAGCUUAUUUGAGGAGACAGCAGGUGCAAAGGAGUAAAACGAAGCGUUAGAGAAUUCUUCUACAUACUCCGUUAGACAAACUUACGUAUCGUACACGCUAAAAUUCCGCCCAAUAAAUUUUGUGAUAAGUUUUCAAAAUAAAAAAAAAUUAAUAAUAAUACAAAAACAACAACAACUAAAGCAAAUAUGUACGCAUUUAAAAAAACGCGUAAAAGGUGAAAAAGAAAACACGCCAGCAAAUAAAAAAUAAUUUCAAACGCCACACACAGACACACACACUAAUACCAAAACACUGCAAGUUCGUUUAAACUCAGCUUCAGUUGCAACUUAAAAGCAAAAAGAACUUUAAUAAAAACAUAUUUACUAAACUAAACGAAGAACAACGCGCAGAAAUGCAGCAGCAAAUAAAAAAAAAAACAGAAAGAAGAAGAAGAGCAGAAAGACCAGAGAGCGCUGCCAGCUGCUUUGCAAAGUUUAGAUGAAGGCAUAAUACCUAAGUGACAGUAAUAAAUUGAUAAAUAAAAGAGUAAUUAAUGUGAAACUGCUACCUACCUUAUAAACUGGAAAGAGUUGCCAACAUAGUUGUAUUUAAUGAAACCAAUGAUAAGCUUAUUGAGUGUACGAAUAACGUUGAUAAAUAUGUGUAGUGCAAGUAGGAGAAAAAUGUCGCGCUGAGAAGAAAGAAAAUAAAUAUAUAAUAUAAAAAAUAAAAUAUAAAAAAACAUUAUUAUUUAUAAUAGCAUUUUUACAUACAGUUUUAAUUAUUUGUGCGCAUUUCAAUUAUGAGCUUUCACACGAGCUUACAUUUGAGCUUUCAGACUAUGCCAUUACCUUUCAUUCAGAUAAAGAACUGCAGUUAUAAACACCACUUAUUAUUUCAGCUGCCUUAGCUAGUGUCAAUUGUGCGAAAAUUCAUGUAAGCUUUCAUCAGAGACGGAGAGCUUUUAAAAACGUUUUCUAUCAAAAUAUUGCAUACUAAAAACAUGUAUUUAAAUAAUCUUACUUUACACUUUAAUUCAUAAUUCUAAACAGAAUGAAUAUUUACAGCUUUCAUGCAAGCUUUCAUAAAUCGUGACCAAAUAAAUGCAUAAAAUUUAAGUUUCAAAUAAUUUCAAUUUACAAUACAUUUCGGAAUAUUUAGAGCUUUCGAGCAAGCUUUCAUAAAUCGUGAAAUCGUGCACCAAGAAAAUGCGUAAUAUUUUAAAUAACUACAGCAGUUUCAAAAAGGCUACUGAAAAAAUACUUACGUAAGCUUUCAUCUGAGACAGAGAGCUUUUUAAUAAGUUGUGUAUAAAAACAGUAUUUACUAAACAAAAGAUGACUUUUGGGAAUCAGAAGUAAAAACCUAAAUCAAUUGUUUCAAAAUUCUGAGGCUAUUUUUCUACAUAUUAGUAAAAUUUUUGAAGAAAAAUAUUUAAACAUAUUUCAGAUUACACGCGAUCUUUACUGCUGUAGUGAUUCCGGUCCUUUUUGUGAAUGAAUCCUAAAAAAAUGCUCUUUGGAGCUUUUAUCGGAACACAAGACAAGUUUAUUCUCAUGGCAUCAAUUUAAUUCCAGUGCGAUCUAGUAUUUAUAAUACAACUUUGCAAAAGUCUUCAUAAUUUUUCAGAAAUAAUAUGCAGCUUGAGCUUACGUGGUACAGAAAAUCAGCCAACUUAUCUCUUAGCUUUCAGAAACUUUCACUAGAGUUUUAAAUUUUAGCCGAAGUGAUUUUCCAUUUAAAAUAUUUAAGCUAAAAAUUUACAAAAACUAAAAUCUUUGGUAGCAACAGUUUUCAUAACUUGGAAGAAAUCGAAAAUAUUGAUAAUUUUCAAUAAUAUGGUUGAGCUUUAUUUCAUAUUGAUACUUUUUAAUAAUAUGGUUGAGCUCAUUCAUUGCAGUUGAUUAGUAAAAAAAUCCAAAACGAAAUUUAUUUAAAAUUAAAAAAAAUGCAAAUAAUUCCUUUGAAUCGACUGAAUGAAAGACUUUAAGGAAUGAUAAUAAUUUUUUUUGGAGCUUUCAUAUGGGUUUUCGCCAUUUAAUUAAAAGCUUUCACCAUUCAAUUAAAAAAUUUACAGUUUUAUCUAUUCGAUAAUGUAGGCUAUACAUUAUUUGAGGUGUAUCAUAUAUUGUACGGCGUCACUCGUAAAUUCGCUCGUUUCAAUAGCAAACCAUAGUAACACCUUUGAAUAAAAAUUUAUUUCGUGCAAUUUUUUUUAUUGCUUGACACACAUAUCUUCAAUGCUUUUUGUUUAACAAUUAAACUUUUUGUGCAAUAUUUGCUUUAUAAUAGAAAGAAAUAAAGUCUAUGCAACAAGGCACACCGUUAAAGUUUACAAAAACUAUGCUGUAAGUAGUAUAAACUAUAAAUAUACAUACAUAUAUAUGUGUUAAUAUAUGCAUGUUUACGAAGCAAGUUAUGAGCACAGAUUAAUGCGCUUAAUAGGAGGAAAAAGAUUUAGAAAAAACGAAGCAAACAAAUUAAAUGAGGAAUGCGAAAAAUGGCGGUAAAAAAUAGUAAGAAAUAAAACAAUAAAAACACAUCAAAACGCAGUGUGCAAAAAUCAAAUAUUAUUACAACACAAUUGGCGGCAAUUAAGCGAACUAAUAAAGAGAACUUGAUAAAAAAAAAAAAAAACAACGCUAAACACGAAGCAGAUGAAACUGAUGAUCAAUACAAUUAAGUAAACAUAAAAUU